This 245-nucleotide ribosomal RNA is filed under the name uncultured bacterium. RNAcentral's name for it is "partial 16S ribosomal RNA". It matches the Rfam family "Bacterial small subunit ribosomal RNA", at positions 524 to 768 of the family's 1533-position model. The record is from RNAcentral.
UACGGAGGGUCCAAGCGUUAUCCGGAUUCACUGGGUUUAAAGGGUGCGUAGGUGGUCUGAUAAGUCAGUGGUGAAAUCCAGCAGCUUAACUGCUGAACUGCCAUUGAAACUGCCAGGCUUGAGUGUCGUUGAGGCAAGUGGAAUGUAACAUGUAGCGGUGAAAUGCAUAGAUAUGUUACAGAACACCAAUUGUGAAGACAGCUUGCUGGACGAUAACUGACACUGAGGCACGAAAGCGUGGGUAG